CAGAUUCUAAUCCUUCCGGUUGUGAUGGUAUACCGGGGUUAGUAGUAGGAACAGCAGCAGCUAUUUGAUUUAACUGAGAUUCAAUCAUUUUAUUAAAGCUAAUUUGAUUCUUGAUGGCAGUAGAGAAAUUAUCCAUUCUAUUAUUUUUAUUUUCUAGCAUUUUAUCAUUAGAUGCCAAUUUCUUAGAUAAAUUAUCCGUUAGCUUUCCUUGAUUAGACACUAACUCUCUCAAAGGUGGAAAAUUAUUAGCAUUAUUGUUGUAAGAAUUAUUACCUUGAUAAUUACCUGAGUAGUUAGGCCUCUGUUGAUUCCAACCUUGAUUUUGUUGAGGACGGUUGUAGUAGUAGUUGUUGUUGUUGUUGAUGUAGUUCACAUCCUCAAGCAUCUCAGGGCAGUGGUUGCCUGAGUGUCCAGUGUCUCCACACUCCUCACAAGUCAUGUGAGAGUCGUAGAUGUGCAUAACUUCCUUCUUAUCUCCAGCUCUAUCAUCGAGCUUCUUCAUGAGCAGGUCUAGCUUUGCAGACAGCAUGUCUACCUCCUUGAGCUGAUGCAUACCUCCACCUCUCUUGCGUGUCUGGGUCCUCUCUUCAUUCCAGCUUUGGUUGGACGCCAUCUUCUCCACAAGAGCUGUGGCUUGUGGUAUUGUAAGUGAUAAGAAUGCUCCUCCAGCUGCAGCAUCCAUGGUCUCUCGGGCACUGUUGCCGAGCCCAUGAUAAAACAUCUGCAUCAAUAGCCAACUCUCCAUUCCAUGAUGGGGACAUUCUAGGAUGUAGUCUUGAAAGCGCUCCCAUGCUUCUGGAACAGAUUCAUCAUUUUGUUGCUGAAAACUUGUAAUCUUCCCACGGAGAGCAUUGGUCUUGCCCAUGGGAAAGAACUUAGCCAGAAAGUUUGUUGAGCAGAGUGCCCACGUAGUAUUCGUCUCCUUUGUAGCGUAAAACCACUGCUUCGCUCUUCCUAACAGUGAGAAUGGGAAGAGGCGAAGUAGUAUAGCAUCUUUGGAAACUCCUGAUACGGUGAAUGUGUUGCAAAUCUCCAGGAAGUGUUGUAAAUGAGCACUAGCAUCUUCGUGUGCCUUCCCACAGAACUGGUUGGAUUGCACCAUGUUGAUAAGUCCAGGCUUGAGCUCAAAGUUGCCAUCGAUCUCUGCAGCAGGUCCAGUGCGGAUGUUGUCCGUAGUGGGAGCUGAGAACUCGCGGAUUGAUUUGUUCGCCAUGGCUUCGAACUCUGAAGACAAGUUCCGGUAAUCUUCUUGAUUGGAUGAAGCUUCUUGCUGAAGUGUUGAUGAUCUCUUCUUGAGCUUGGCUCUCGUCUUCUUGAAUAAUGCUUCGGGAUUGUCAACAAAAUUUCCUGGAAGAUGUCUUCUAUUCAUACAUUCCCCUACAUAAGAUGAAAUAGGAAAAUAUAGGGGUAAAACUGUAUGAGAGAAUAGAUAAGCUCAAUCAUAUUAGUGAUGCGAAUGAUAACUCAAAAUCUUUUAUUCCAUUCCUGAUUAGUAAUCAACCUUCCCCGGCAACGGCGCCAAAAAUGCUUGUUGGGUUUUCUUAACAUCAUUACCAAAAGUAGACUAAGUUCUCUAAAUCUAGUAACGGUGCCAAAAAUGCCAAACCUAUCCCUCACACCACUUAAGCCAAGUUGUCAUCCCCAGCAUGAUAUAAGAGACGCGGUAUUGAAAUAUGCAAUUGCUCUUCUAAAUAAAUAAUGAAUGGGAUCUGCAAGCGCACAGAUUAAUACCGAUGUAGCAUUUUAACCGGGAAGUAUUCCAGGUAUCGUUAUUUAUAUUUUUACCACUGGGAAGGGAUUAGCAAUCAACAAUAUUGAUUACAGAAUAGAAUAUGAGAUUGAGCAUCUAUCAUUGCAUGUAUAAUUGAGAACAUUAUAUCUAACUCUUCAUACAGGGAUAAGUGUCACAUGAAAGAUAUAUGAAAUAAUAAUAGUGACAAGGAUAACUAAUCUAAUCUAGCCACAUAAUAAAUAUGAUAAGCACCUCAAUUAGAUACUCUAGAAAGUCAUUAGCAUGGUAUUAGAAUGAACUACAAGAAUAUUCCCUAAGUUAUUCUCAACUAUAUAGUCUAGCAUUAUCAUAGUUAGUGCAAGCAUACUUAGCAAUCAUUGUGAGACAAGACUACGCCCAUGCAUAGUGAUAUUAGCAAGGUAAAUGAGAAACAUAGCAAUCACUCCCCUGUAAUAAUGUUGCUCUGCCAGCCCAAUACACGAGAGGGGGACUAUAUAAGAAUCAAUGAAGCUGUCACUAUCACGAACCACCCAUUGGGUACAAUCGCAGAUAAAUACGGUAUAAGCACCACGCCUACACAAUAUCUAUCAUUUACCCAUGGAUCUGAUGGAUAAACGCUAUACGAUCCUAAGCAUGUAUAUAGAUCGAAUCUAACUAAGCCAAGUACAUAACUAUGAUAAACUAAGAACAAUAUAAUCUUGAAUAUAAGCAAGUAGAGCAAAGUCAUAAGCAAUAUAUUGAAGUAGAACAAAGUCAUAUUCAUAAUAUUGAAGAACAAAGAUAAUUAGAAGAACAAUUAGAAGCACAAUUAGAGAAUUACCAAGAAUCCUCUUGAAAGAUCCGGAAACCAAUCGAAGAUUGACUCCUUCUAGUUCUAAUCCUAUGUAGCUAUGCUAAUCUAGAUAUCUAAUUGAUGUGGUGGCUCUAAUCUUGAUCAGAGGCUUCUUCUCCCUUGAAGAACAAUGAAUUAGGGUUGAGAGGCUCUCUCCUCCAGGGGCCAGGGGGUCUGGUUUUAUAGUCCCUUCAAGUGAAUAUGGGCCAUUGGAUCAAACCGACAUAGAUUAUAUGGUUUAGAUUCAUCCUUUAGGUCGGUGGAGGUCUCCCGCGAAGCAGAGUCCUGAUUGGACUCCUGGAGAGGACGGGCGCCCCGACCAACUGGGCGGGCGCCCAGGGUCUGGCCCCGUUUCGCCUCCGCUUCGGUCUCGUGGCUUCUGGAGUCUUCUAGAUGUAAGAUAAUUGCGCGGCACGUUAACAUCUCUAUGUAAUCCCGACGUGUGGGCCUUUCUUCCGUAUUUCCUGAUAACCCCCUGCAGAAAUAGACAAACACCAAAACUCGUGGAAUUCUGUCAGAUAAAACCCUAAGUCUAGAUGUUGAUUUCAUUUGGAUCCUUUUCUUUGUUUAUUUAAUAAUUAAAUUUGAUACUUAAGGACCGUCAACAAACUCCCCCAAGCUUACCUCUUGCUCGUCCCUGAGCGAGGAUAGACUCAGCUAUGGAUCAUAAGUUGUUGCAAUAUUUUUAAAAAUUUGACGGUACACAUGCUUUUAAAUAAGAUCUCAUCUCUGAGUUAGAGUAAACUGUCAAGACUUAAAACUUACUUACUUUACCUUCACCAUGGGACUUGUAACCGUCACUUCUAUCUUGAGUGGUUAAAAGAUAGAACAGUCUAGUCAAGUGCCAUGUCUCUUAUUCUUGAUCAGCUAUAGCUCUGGGGUUUUUGCAGAUUUUCAAAUAAAACUCAGAGAUUCCUUGUAUGAUUCUCUCAGAUCUCUCUUUUGUGGUAUUUCUGGAUCCUUACCAAGGCAGUGAUGGUAUAUGCCUUCUCUCAAUAUAUGUGGUAUUUGUGGUAUAAAGCAUAGUGACAUUGCCUUCUCUCUCACCCUACUCUAAUAAGGCUUUAAUAUCUGGAGCUCAUAGGUGGGAGAUAAAGUAUACAUACUUACAAGACAUGUAUUGCAUAGUCAAACCAUGGAUCCAAAGAAACAAGCCAAUGACUUUAAUCAAGAUGUGCAUGUGUGGUGAAUGAAUGAUGUAUGGUGAUGAUGGUGAUAAUAAUGGUGGUGGAAGUCUAAUUCUACUUUGCUCUUUUGAGGGGAUACAUACCUUUCUUGCUUUUUUGAAACUUUAUGAGGAGAAUGAGAUGCUCUUCUUUUUCUUUUCUCUCAGGUGGGUAUCUUGCACCCCUAAUUCUACUGUCGGACACUUGUCUAUUUUUACCUCUCGUCUCACUCUCUUUUCUUUCGAGGUUCCGAGCAGUUGCUCCUUUUUAUUUCCUCGUAUUUCUCUCUCUCUUUUUUCAGAGCAUUCAUCUCUUGAGAUAAUAUAGCAAGUGGUAGUAACAAUAUAACUUGAGCAUUUAUUUUACAAGGAAAAACAGAAAUAUUUUUGGCUAUUCUCUCCAGGAUUAGGAGUAGAAAAUUUUUGGGUGAUUCUGGAGAUGGAAUGGGUGGAUAUAUGUGGAUGGUACUUCCGGAAUAGAAGUAGCAUAUAUGAGCGAACGUGCAAGUGAAUCUUGAUUUAACCACAUGACAAAUUCCUAAGGGUCUACACAGCUUGACCACACUCAAUGCUCAUAAGCAGUAAAUAGUAAAUGUGUGGCUCAAAGUCUAGCAAGCAUGUAUAUAUGGCUGUGGUAGGAAUUUAAACUCUCAUCAUACAGGAACUCAUCAUGCAACACUUUAAAGAUUUUUUAAAAGAUAAAAUUCUCCAGAAUUCUAGCAUCUCUAGGAACAGAUAAACAGCAGCUCAACCUUCCCAUAUCGUAUCCGUUAACAACUUAGACUUCAGAUCAAGUUUUCAUCCCACAAGUUUAGGUCUAGAGCAAGCUUUAAAUUAUAACAGUUAUAUCUAAACUUGAGAGAGAACUUAAAAUGUGCAAAUUAGGCAGAGCAACUAUUCAUCAUUUCCAUGCUUAAGUUUUAUUUAGAUACAGAUUAGCAUAGCCACUUUAUUUAUUUAUAAACACACUAAGCAAAAGACAUAUAUAUAAGCAUAAAAUAUUUAUUUGGUUUUUCAUAGUUUAUGUAUUUUAAUAUUCUAAUAUAGUAUAAGUAUAAAGAUAGAUAGAUAGAUAGAUAGAAAUACUUAUCGGGAUAAAUGGGGGUGCUCUCCCCCAAGUUGAAUUUUGACGUAAUUUCUCCUGAUGUAGCUAGCAGGUGGCAGAGGUGUAUUUGAAAGUCAGCAGUAUUCUGACAGCGAUUAGAAUGUCCUCCGUCUGCUAGUCUUCUUGAUUCUUAAAUUCUGUAGAGCUCAAAUUGACAACAAAGCUUGUGGAACUGAUUAAGUGUUAGCAUAAAUAUCUAGCCUUUAUCAUGUUGAGACUCCUUAAUAAUUAUUACUCCAUGUUUUUAUAUUUUUUUUUAUUUUAUAAAGCAGAAAAGAAAUAUUUAUUUUAUUUUUAUGCCACCACAGUGAAUGUACUUAUGGGUUUUAUGCCACUCGCAUACUCACAUGGGGCUUACUGUUUUUCGCAUUUUUAUUUUCUUUUAUUUUUAAGAUAGUACGAACAUGAUUAACUAAGUAAACUAGUUGAAAUAAUUGAAAGGGAAAGGAUAACUACCAAGUUUAUCUCUCGGCAAGGCGUUCGGUGUUUUUAAGUCCUCCGAACGGGACUCUCCAUUUUCUUAAUCGUCCUGAGGUUCGUUGGGUGGCGUAGUCGGUACUUCCGGUGGCGCCUCCUCUUCAUGUAUAGUUAUCUUCAUUUUCCACACCUGACUUGGUGCUUCAGUCUCCUCUGGAUAAUUCUGUUUAAACUCUACGUCUUCUGACCUUAUAACUUCUCCUUCAUAGUCUGCCCAUCCGUCCUUGAUGAUCUGCCUCCUCUGGUUGCGGUUGCGUCUUUUCCUUACCUGCUUAGAUUCUUCAAUGAUAUAGUUAGGGUCAGUAAAAUAACGGCGUACCUUCUCUGAGGGGAAGUGCAUAUGGACUUCUCCGGUUCCAAUGUAGAUAAUUGCUUUAACGGUGCUGAGGAACGGUCUUCCAAGGAUGAUGGGUGGAUCAUACUAAUCUUCUCCCAAGUCAAUAACUUGAAAGUCUGUGUAGACAAAGUGAUCGUCUAUUUUGACUGGGACAUCAGUUACUGUUCCUUUAACUUCUCGAAAUGUCUGAUCUGCCAUCUGGAGCUGAAUGUAUGUUGGUCUUAGGGGCAUGGUUUCGAAGAAGAGCCGAUAGGUGACUGCGGCCAUUAUGUUGACGCCCGAUCCGGUGUCACAAGUUGCCUUGUAGAAGUUGUAUCCAUUGAUGGAGCAAUAGAUGCUUGGCAUUCCUGGGUCGUCCUUCUUGGUCAAAAGCGGUGACUUAAGUUGGUGAUCUUGGCCUCCAUGAACUACAGUGACCAUCUUAGCUGACUCGGUCCACACUUGCUUGUUCCUGUUCCUCCUGUUGGUCCUCUUCCUUGAUUGACGUCUGGAUUGAUCUGGAAUUUGUGUAGUCUUGUUCUUGAAGAAAAAUGUCUCCUUCUUCCCUUUGACGUAGAAACUGAUCUUAGCAGCACUGGCGUAGAUGAUAGCUCCCGUGGUGUUCAAGAAUGGCCUCCCUAAGAUGAUAGGUGCUCUCUCAUCAUUUCCGGUCUCUACCACUACGAAGUCUGCUGGGGCAUAUAAGGUACCAACUCGGACACAAAGGUUCUUCACUAUUCCUUUUGGAAAAGUUAUCGUCUGAUCUGCAAACUGCAAACACAUGGUUGUUUCUAAUAAAGGAUAUGUAAAGAAUUUUUCAUAGAGUACCCUGGGUAUAAUGUUGACACUGGAGCCAAAGUCGCAGAGUGCUUCUGGAACGUCCACCAUGCCGAUAGAGAUCGGGAUGACGGGGCGUCCUGGAUCGCCUCUCUUGACCGGCAGAAGGUCAGUAGAAAAUUCAGUGGCGGGGUUACUCCAAUUACCUGCAUCAAACAUGUCUACAAGAUUUGCAGAUUCUAAUCCUUCCGGUUGUGAUGGUAUACCGGGGUUAGUAGUAGGAACAGCAGCAGCUAUUUGAUUUAACUGAGAUUCAAUCAUUUUAUUAAAGCUAAUUUGAUUCUUGAUGGCAGUAGAGAAAUUAUCCAUUCUAUUAUUUAUAUUUUCUAGCAUUUUAUCAUUAGAUGCCAAUUUCUUAGAUAGAUUAUCCGUUAGCUUUCCUUGAUUAGACACUAACUCUCUCAAAGGUGGAAAAUUAUUAGCAUUAUUGUUGUA
Molecule: long non-coding RNA, 6899 nt
Filed under: Sorghum bicolor (sorghum)
Lineage: Eukaryota; Viridiplantae; Streptophyta; Magnoliopsida; Poales; Poaceae
Description: long non-coding RNA (SBIC_LNC012359)
Rfam family: Plant small nucleolar RNA R71 (bases 744-850)
Source: RNAcentral